RNAcentral lists this ribosomal RNA (301 nucleotides) under uncultured bacterium. RNAcentral's name for it is "partial 16S ribosomal RNA". It matches the Rfam family "Bacterial small subunit ribosomal RNA", at positions 509 to 808 of the family's 1533-position model. The record is from RNAcentral.
CAGUCGCCGCGGUAAUACGUAGGGUGCAAGCGUUAAUCGGAAUUACUGGGCGUAAAGCGUGCGCAGGCGGUUAUAUAAGACAGAUGUGAAAUCCCCGGGCUCAACCUGGGAACUGCAUUUGUGACUGUAUAGCUAGAGUACGGCAGAGGGGGAUGGAAUUCCGCGUGUAGCAGUGAAAUGCGUAGAUAUGCGGAGGAACACCGAUGGCGAAGGCAAUCCCCUGGGCCUGUACUGACGCUCAUGCACGAAAGCGUGGGGAGCAAACAGGAUUAGAUACCCCGCGUAGUCCCUGUCUCUUAUA